UUCUGAUAGACUCUCAUAAUAUCCUUAAUUCCUAACGACUUUGUUCCUAGAUAUUGCCAAAAGGUAAAGAGUCUCCCUCUCAAGGCAUCUAUCAUGUUAUCGAUGUUUGGAGAGAAUACAGCCACAUGGAUAUUUAACGCAUUUCCAUAUGCAAUACAUGUCUGUUUUUUUCUUUCUCAAAAGGCUUUGACCAUUCUACUCGGGCGCACUUCCAUCAGGUAUAUUAUUUGUUAGGCCCUUUUAUAGUUUUUGUGGACAAAAACAAUUUCAUUGAGGAAAGAAGUGAUACGCUUACAAAUUUGAUAGAACAAACGAUUUCUUGAUAAAUUUCUCAACCUUGAGGUCAAGGUUGCCUUUGAAGGGUAUGGCCAUGAUUGAUAGGCACUAAGCAGCCCUAAAAACAAGGUGAGAUGAGAUGGAUUUAGGCUCCACUUGGUUUGGCUAAAUUAGAAUUGGAAUGACUCGAAAUUCAAUAUAAUAUGUUUUUCUAGUCAAACUUGAUUCGAUUUUAGUUCGUGAAUUGUUCAUUUCGACUAGUCACCUUAAAUUGGUUUAUUUAAUAUAUAUAAAUUUAAAAUUUAUAUAUAUAAUCGUCCAACUCAUUAACUAAACGAGUCGUACUAUAUGUGGCUUAAAUUCGACUCGAGUAUUUAAUGAACUCAAUUUUUAAAUCAAACUCAACUCAUUUGGUUCAUGAACAAACUUUAUCGAGUUAAGUAAGGAAUCGAGUUUCAACCAAAUGUUAAGUUGAUUCGUUUUAUUAUUCCCUUCAAUCAUAUGUCGAUAUAGAUUAUUAGGUCCAUUUGAAAAGAGUAGGAUAACUAUUAUUAUUAUUUAGACAAUCAAUUCAUUGAUAAACUUUAUUAUUUGAAGUUCUAAAAUGAUAUGGGCGUCAUUUGUCAUUGUGAACUUGUCGCUUUUUAGGUAGCAAGUAUCUUUUUGACUUAGUUAAUAAGCUAUUAGAGUCAUUUGAUAAACAAGAAUGAUUGGGAUUGUAGCUUUUAAAAAUGGAGAUUAUAGCAUUUAAAAACUACUUUUCGGAAAGUUACUUGAGGUCUCUUUAUCAAAACUAGCUUGUAGUUGUGAGCUUGUAACUUGUUCUGUGAAGGUAUCUAGAAGCUUGUUGAUGUAUAAGUAGUUUAUUAAACUAAAUUUGUUCGGUAAAACUAGCUUUGUGAUAAGUGCCAAAAAUACCUAUUUUUCAUACACUUUCCAUGACACUUAUCCUAUGUAAUUCAUGCAAAACCAACUAAAUUCAAUAUUUUUUUAAAUAAAUUGCCAUAGUUUGAUUGUAUAUUUUGUCCACCUCUUUUCCAAAUAUUUGUGUGAAGUUUUUUAGAAAAAUUCAAAGAGAAGAAAAAUUCAGAAUAAUAGUCAAGCAAGGAGGUGUCCACAUAAGCCACUUUUGAUGUUCACAUGACAAGCUAAGUGCUUGGCCAAAAGCAUGGACCAAAACACAUGAAGCUGCUCACUAAGCAACUUGGCGUAGACAAACAGGACCACCUAGCUGACUUGUCACCAACUUGACUCGGUUAGACACAAGCUUUACGCGGUUAGACUCAAGCCUGACACAAGCCAACUUGCUCAAGCAGGCAGCUCAACGUGCACCUGGACCGGCCAAUCUCGAACCACACACCUGACCAGAGCAGGACAUCAGCCAGCUAAGCGGUGCCACCUAAGCAGCUAGGUGGGCUGGACCUAGCCAGUGGUCAACUUGACUUGGACACCAAGCAAUGAUGGCAUCAUGCAUGACCUCACUUGACAAUGUCUCUAAGCACUUUUCAGAAUAGCCCACAAUAGCCUGGUCAAGUAGCUCACAAGUAGCUUUAGUGAGUCAACAACAAGCAGAUGACUAAGCUGCUUGGCUAAGGACCAAACCUAUGCUGAAGGGUUUGGUGCGCCUGGCGUGGACCAAGAGGGACAACAAUGACCUGGAUGCCUAUAAAUAGAGGCCAUCUUCCACCAUUAAAAAAAAAACUUCCAUUCUUCACUUCUUCUCUCAAAAACACUUAUCUAUAGAAUUCUUGUACUUUGGGGCCACAAUUCCAAGCUAGUUCUUAGGUAAAUUUUGUAAUUUUUUCUUAGAAUUCAAGAGGAGAAAGGAGUUGGCAAACGUGAUGCAAAAGUUAAUUUUGUAAUCUCAUUUGGUUCCAAAAGCAUCUCAUCCUUGGAUAGAUGGCUAAUGCUCCUACA
Molecule: long non-coding RNA, 2193 nt
Filed under: Lupinus angustifolius (narrow-leaved blue lupine)
Lineage: Eukaryota; Viridiplantae; Streptophyta; Magnoliopsida; Fabales; Fabaceae
Description: long non-coding RNA (LANG_LNC002565)
Source: RNAcentral